This 2210-nucleotide long non-coding RNA is filed under the name Phasianus colchicus (ring-necked pheasant). Its description in RNAcentral is "lncRNA (ENSPCLG00000001817.1)". The record is from RNAcentral. Lineage: Eukaryota; Metazoa; Chordata; Aves; Galliformes; Phasianidae.
AACAGCACAAGGAGAUGACUGAAACUUAAGGAUGGGUCCAACCGCUUGGCUCUGUGCGAGUGCAAAUAAUGAAAGCCAAGUUGCAUAUUUUGGAAGGAAAUUCCCCUUUACUUGUGACACCCCUUCAGUAGGACCACUAAAGAAUUGCAAUGAUCGGAGGGUUUGAGAGGAGCUGGGCAUGUAUCAUCUUUCAGUCCGAAUCAAUCAAAAUACCAUGAACUGCAGAGCAGCCGAUCUGGGACAACCAUCCUGCAGGAGACAAGAAGCUCUCCUACCUGUUUGGCUCAAGUCAAGAGAGAAAGCCAGGCUGGUGCUGGUGAGGCUGUGCAAGUUGAUUUCAGCGGUACAUCAUCACCCAUGUCCCCUGUCAUCUCCUUCUCCUGAGGAUAAUGGAGCAGCUGGCUCUGGGGGAUUUCCCAGCAUAGCCACCCAAUUUCUGCACACCCAGGGAAGCCAAAAUACCAAAACGGAGCAAGAUUAAACAAUUUCUCAUGGACUUGCCAAAAACUCAUGCUACACUUACCUUUGGGGGAACAAGAGUGACAUGGCUGUGCAAGAAGGAGCCAUCUGAGCUGCUGCUCCACAGCCUGCUCAGCCGCAGGCGAUGCUGAUGCCCAGGUGUGCCCCUUCCCCAGGUACUCUGUGUCCACAGGAAAAAACACCUCUACUGGGCAGGCACGUGGGAAAUUACAAAGGCUUGUCCCUUCCCCAGCUGGAAAUGGGAUGGGAGAGCAGGAAUGUGCACAGGAGAGAUACUCCCUCAGCCAGCCAAGGGCAUAUGGAGCAGAUUCUCAGUUAUGUGCCUCAGUUUUUCCCAUCCAAAAUAAGGAAUACUGUUUUUCCACUUUUUCAAAUACCACGUUUUUUCAUGGUUUGUUUGCACUGCUUGCUUUAAAGAACAAAAUCCUCAGUCCCAGCUUGCUUUUAGCCUUGCACCCAUCAAGACCUUCCAUUUGAGACUGAAGUGUUUCCUUGAACUGUUUUGCUUUACCUUGCCUUGGAUUUUUCAGGGCUUCACAAACACACAGGCACACCCACAUGACAUAGGAGGGUGUUGGUCAGUAAUGAGCUUUCUAGUCAGGGGAACCUGCCAGUUUAAUUUGUUUCUGUGUAAGACAGCCAUUUUUUAAACAGAAACUUGCUGACAUAGUAAGUAACAUGAAUGUAGGAGCUGCUUAACAACUAUUUAUAGUCUUCAGCAUGCCAGUCUCUUUGUGGAGCACACAUGAAGAUAUUGUCCCUGUCAUGAACUGUCUGAAAUUUAAACUUAAAGCCUGAACUGACAUGAAGGAGUAUUGCUGGGAGCAGGCAGGGUGAGGAGAGGCAAAGGUUACCAAGUAAGAUGAUGCCACUGAUCAGCUAUGGAAUGUCCUUAUCUUAGCAUCUCAAUUAAAAACAAAGUAACCUUGUUUUAAUGGGAUUAGUGCAAUGGUUGACUCAUAGAACCACUCAAGGAAAAGGUGUUCAAGAAGGAAGUGAUUCCCAGCCCUGGGAAGCAAGAAACUGGAAAUUUAUGUAAAAAAAUGAGAAAUAGGCUGCUGCACCCAAAACUGUGAAUGGAGUGAGAAACAUUGGGAAAUUUAUGAUAGAGAAAAGAGACAGAAAAGCCGGCAGAGAAGAAUAAUACAGAAUAUAUGUAUCUAUUGCAUCUAUUAAUGGAAGACCGAGGAAGGAAAAAGAGCACUGUCAGCUUGAAAUAUAAUCCAUUUUGUGGAGUUAUGUUUUCCUAUUUUUAAGUGAUUUCAUCUCUUUUUCUUUUAUGCAAUGAAUCAUCUGAAAAGAGCAGACAAAGCUGACUGCACUAUUAAUUAGAAAGAAAUUGAAUUAUAAAGUGCUAUCAAGUAUACAGCACUAAACUCUAGAGUAAGUAUACAUAUUUCCACAUCUCUGUCAAUUACAGCAGUAUUAACAGCAUUACCAGUAGCUAAAAAAAAUCAGAAAAAAACAUUUUCAGUAUCACAGUGACCCUGGGAAAGGGAGUUGACUCAAAAGUGGCAUGAUGCAACCAGACAAUGCGAGAAAGGUCGUUUUUCUGAAGAACUCUCUGAAAUGUUGCCAGGUUGAUUGAAUAAGCACGCUGUGGGUUGCCAGGUUCAAGAGCAAGACUACAUGGGUGUCCCCAGAGUGGUAACUAUCACUGCAGCCAUGGGCACAAAAGAAAACUGUAGCUGUCCAAUAAAGCACAAGUCCUUAGUUGGGGUUGUCUCUGA